GAUGAACGCUGGCGGCGUGCCUAAUACAUGCAAGUCGAGCGAACAGACGAGGAGCUUGCUCCUCUGACGUUAGCGGCGGACGGGUGAGUAACACGUGGAUAACCUACCUAUAAGACUGGGAUAACUUCGGGAAACCGGAGCUAAUACCGGAUAAUAUAUUGAACCGCAUGGUUCAAUAGUGAAAGACGGUUUUGCUGUCACUUAUAGAUGGAUCCGCGCCGCAUUAGCUAGUUGGUAAGGUAACGGCUUACCAAGGCAACGAUGCGUAGCCGACCUGAGAGGGUGAUUGGACACACUGGAACUGAGACACGGCCCAGACUCCUACGGGAGGCAGCAGUAGGGAAUCUUACGCAAUGGGCGAAAGCUUGACGGAGCAACGCCGCGUGAGUGAUGAAGGUCUUCGGAUCGUAAAACUCUGAUAUUAGGGAAGAACAAAUGUGUAAGUAACUAUGCACGUCUUGACGGUACCUAAUCAGAAAGCCACGGCUAACUACGUG
RNAcentral lists this ribosomal RNA (497 nucleotides) under uncultured bacterium. RNAcentral's name for it is "partial 16S ribosomal RNA". It matches the Rfam family "Bacterial small subunit ribosomal RNA", at positions 28 to 507 of the family's 1533-position model. The record is from RNAcentral.